Molecule: ribosomal RNA, 426 nt
Filed under: uncultured bacterium
Lineage: Bacteria
Description: bacterial SSU rRNA
Rfam family: Bacterial small subunit ribosomal RNA
Source: RNAcentral
AGGGAAUAUUGGACAAUGGGGGCAACCCUGAUCCAGCCAUGCCGCGUGAGUGAAGAAGGCCCUCGGGUUGUAAAGCUCUUUUGUCCGGAAAGAAAUGCAUUCGGUGAAUACCCGGAUGUUCCGACGGUACCGGAAGAAUAAGCACCGGCUAACUUCGUGCCAGCAGCCGCGGUAAUACGAAGGGUGCAAGCGUUACUCGGAAUUACUGGGCGUAAAGCGUGCGUAGGUGGUUGUUUAAGUCUGAUGUGAAAGCCCUGGGCUCAACCUGGGAAUGGCAUUGGAAACUGGGCAGCUAGAGUGCGGUAGAGGGUAGUGGAAUUCCCGGUGUAGCAGUGAAAUGCGUAGAGAUCGGGAGGAACAUCUGUGGCGAAGGCGACUGCCUGGACCAGCACUGACACUGAGGCACGAAAGCGUGGGGAGCAAACA